Molecule: ribosomal RNA, 425 nt
Filed under: uncultured bacterium
Lineage: Bacteria
Description: bacterial SSU rRNA
Rfam family: Bacterial small subunit ribosomal RNA
Source: RNAcentral
UAGGGAAUCUUCCACAAUGGACGGAAGUCUGAUGGAGCAAUGCCGCGUGAGCGAAGAAGGUUUUCGGAUCGUAAAGCUCUGUUGUGAGGGAAGAACAAGUACGGGAGUAACUGCCCGUGCCUUGACGGUACCUCAUUAGAAAGCCACGGCUAACUACGUGCCAGCAGCCGCGGUAAUACGUAGGUGGCAAGCGUUGUCCGGAAUUAUUGGGCGUAAAGCGCGCGCAGGCGGCCUGUUAAGUCUGAUGUGAAAGCCCCCGGCUCAACCGGGGAAGGUCAUUGGAAACUGAUAGGCUUGAGUACAGAAGAGGAAAGCGGAAUUCCACGUGUAGCGGUGAAAUGCGUAGAGAUGUGGAGGAACACCAGUGGCGAAGGCGGCUUUCUGGUCUGUAACUGACGCUGAGGCGCGAAAGCGUGGGAGCACAG